AAAAGUAAGUAAGGAAGAAUAUAAAUUAGUACAGAAAAAUAAAAGCCUCAACUGGUUUUGUGGAAGAUGCAAUGGAGCUUAUAAGAAUAUGAAAACUGAGAACAGGAAGAUGAAGACACUGAGGGAUACUUUCGUGCUCAAGAUGAGUGCCCUAGAAGAGGUUAUAAUGAAACUCAGUGAGGAGCUAAAGGAAGUGAAAAGAGGCUUAGACACUGAACAGAGAGUAAGAAGUGAGGAUUUUAACCCAGUGAUUAGAGAAGAGGUGAAGGAAUUAUGGGAGAAAGAAAAACGUAACAACGAAAUAAGAAAAGAAACCAUAUACUUGAUGUGGAAAAAAAGAGAGAAAAAAAGGAAAGAGCUAAACAAAUAAACAAACAAAAACAAAAAAUACCCAAGACUAAGAGGCGCCGUUGCAAAGGCAUUGCCUCGACCCAUAACUAC
Macrobrachium nipponense is the source of this 441-nucleotide long non-coding RNA. RefSeq lists it as uncharacterized. NCBI's taxonomy places the organism in Eukaryota, Metazoa, Arthropoda, Malacostraca, Decapoda, Palaemonidae. The transcript is spliced from 2 exons. The record is from RefSeq and is a predicted model, not a curated record.